This 344-nucleotide small nuclear RNA is filed under the name Pteropus vampyrus (large flying fox). RNAcentral's name for it is "7SK RNA (ENSPVAG00000025059.1)". The stretch from base 1 to 295 matches the Rfam family "7SK RNA". Rfam says of the family: 7SK was discovered as an abundant small nuclear RNA in the mid-70s but a possible function has only recently been suggested. Two independent studies have found that 7SK RNA binds the CDK9/cyclin T complex (known as elongation factor P-TEFb). The record is from RNAcentral. Lineage: Eukaryota; Metazoa; Chordata; Mammalia; Chiroptera; Pteropodidae.
GGAUGUGAGGGCGAUCUGGCUGCGACAUCUGUCAUCCCAGGGUUGACUCGGCUGAUCUGGCUGGCUAGGUGGGUGUUCCCUUCCUCCCUCACCACUCCAUGUGUGUCCCUCCCGAAGCUACGCACUUGGUCGAAGAGGAUGACCUUCCCCGAUAGAGGAGAGGACCGUUCUUCAGUCAAGGGUAUACCAGUAGCUGCGCUCCCCUGCAAACAAGGUCUCAAGAUAAAAAAAUACUUUAUUGUCUUUUUCCCAUUAUGAUCAAAUAAGUGUUAUAGAAAAUUUAUAAAACUGAAAUGAGCAAAAAGAAGCGAAAAUAAAAUAUCCUUAGGUAUGUUUUUCCAUUC